UACGGAGGGAGCUAGCGUUGUUCGGAAUUACUGGGCGUAAAGCGCGCGUAGGCGGCUUUGUAAGUUAGAGGUGAAAGCCCGGGGCUCAACCCCGGAAUUGCCUUUAAGACUGCAUCGCUAGAAUCCGGGAGAGGUGAGUGGAAUUCCGAGUGUAGAGGUGAAAUUCGUAGAUAUUCGGAAGAACACCAGUGGCGAAGGCGGCUCACUGGACCGGCACUGACGCUGAGGUGCGAAAGCGUGGGGAGCAAACAGG
RNAcentral lists this ribosomal RNA (253 nucleotides) under uncultured bacterium. Its description in RNAcentral is "partial 16S ribosomal RNA". It matches the Rfam family "Bacterial small subunit ribosomal RNA", at positions 524 to 776 of the family's 1533-position model. The record is from RNAcentral.